ACAACAGAAGCUGCUUGUCAUGAUGUCAUGAUUUCUGAACUGAAUAUCUUUUCUCUCACUGUUCUGAUCUCACAGAGAUUCAAGCGUGUCUGAAGUCUUGUCAGACGAGAAUGAGAACUUUAGCCAACAGAUCCCAGCAGGACCAGAAUCAACGUUCACCGGAGCAGCAGGAUCAGGUGGUAGUCCAGCUACUGGAUCAAAGCAGAAAUAGAAAUGAAUCCUCUCCUGGAGAAUAAAGAUGAGGAUACUGAAGGACGUAAAGUUACAGAAGAGACUCAUCUCACAAACAUAAGAGAAGAUCAUUCAUAAACACCUUAACACCAGUUAUACCUUUUCUAGCCGUGUUUCCCAAACUAUACAUAAGUUAUACCUUAGGAGGUUACUUUCUUACGUCUCACGUUACCAGGUGAUGUCCAUGGCUGUCCGUCGAUCGCUCGACAAUCAAUUAUUCACUCUAUACAGGGACUGCUUCACUGCCUCAUGUGACGUGGCGCCGUUCUUUAUCAAAUAAGCACUUUAGAAAUAGUUGAAGUUGCAUUUAUUAGGACUCAAAGGAUAAAAAUAAACCACAUUGCAAACUAAAUCCAACCACGAAUAUUAUUUAAUUGUGAUCAAAGGUUCUCAAACUUUGGGUCAUGAGGGUCAAGCGGAGUGAACUCUUAACAGUGAUGAGGUAUAGCUAAGAGCGCUCCAGACUAACCUUACAGAAGGUUACUUAACUAAGAACGUUUCGGGAAACACAUAUUAACCAUAAGGUACAACUUAAGGUAACUUAAGAACUAUUUAGCGAUAAGAAGGUUUCGGGAAACGGCCGUUAGAUCAAACUCUCAUGAGCUGAGAACUGACAUCAGUUCAGUCUUGUUCUUUAUUUAUAAUUUACAUUUUAUUUUGUACUGUGAGAUGUUUUUAGUUUUUCAUUAAUGUUUUCACUCGUGUGAAAACAGCUCUACAGUAAAUAGGCAGUUGGAUUUAAGACUAAUUCUAUCUGUAACUUUAACUAGUGUAAAUGAAAACAAAACAUGGUUAAAUCUUCAACAAACAUUAUAGAAGUCACUGUAUAUGAUCAGAGUUUGUGGUUUAAGUCUCAAGUUCACAGUGAUGUCAGGACAGGAUUGUACAGGAUCAUUAAAUCUUCCGUUUCUGGGUCGUUUCCACCCAUAAUGAUCAUUUCAGUGAGAGAUUAUUAAUAUUGUAAAUAUUUAAGCAGGCGUCACAACACUGCACUUGACAUUCAGGUUUAAAUCCGUUUGCAACCCUGAAGAUGUAAAUGUUUUUUAUGUUUUGGUGCUGAAUUAUUAAAAAUGUCUUCAAGAUUAAAUAGAUCGAAAAGUUGUGGAUUAUUUUGUAUAAAUUCAUUUAGAUACAAAAUAUAACUGAACUCAAAUGUAUUUUGAUCACUAAUUCAAUUCACAUUCAUUUGUGGAGCACUUUUCACAAUGCGUUUCAAAGCAGCUUUACAGAAAAUGCAUGUUUAUUUGUUAUCAGACAGAAUCAGAUCAGUCUUUAAUUCAUAUCAGAAAGUGUUUUUAAGGUGGUAUAAAUCCAAAUGAAUGUGCAAUGAUAAGAUGAUCAUAAAGAGAACUAUAUGUAGAAUUUGACAGAAUUGUGUGAUGAUCCAGAGCUGGUGUUCACAGCAUCAUCUCUUCACAAGUGUUAUUGGCUCAUCUGAAGUUUCAUAGUCAGUGUUCAGCAAGCAUUCAAUAACCCACAAUCAUACACAACAUCAUGACAUACAUUUUUAUUUGUAUGGUUUGUUCUGCUUGUGUCUUGUUCACUUUAUACAGGCCAUCUGUUUCCACUGCUUAGUUUAAUUCAUUGUUGCAAGGUCAAACUUAUCAUCUAUUGAUGUCAUGAAACAUUUUUUGCAAAGUUGCUUACAUUACUUUGAGUAGUUAACGACAUAAUGAUGUUAACCAUUACAUCAACGUAAUAUUGUGUGUCAUUUAAACUUAAAUAUUUGCAUUAAUUUGUUUAAAACAAUAUCUAAGUCAUGUUUUCAGGCUACAGUUGAGGUUAGGAUUUCAAGGCUCCUCAACACUUAACAUUCUAGACAAACUCUGUGUUAGAUGUGAACUGCAAGUGUAUUGCUUUGCAUUGCAUUUAAUUUUAAUUUUGCUUAUAUAAAAUAAAGAGGCAUUCACUGAA
Molecule: long non-coding RNA, 2145 nt
Organism: Triplophysa rosa
Lineage: Eukaryota; Metazoa; Chordata; Actinopteri; Cypriniformes; Nemacheilidae
Exons: 3
Source: RefSeq, a predicted model, not a curated record